Molecule: ribosomal RNA, 509 nt
Filed under: Pristionchus pacificus
Lineage: Eukaryota; Metazoa; Nematoda; Chromadorea; Rhabditida; Neodiplogasteridae
Description: SSU rRNA
Rfam family: Eukaryotic small subunit ribosomal RNA
Source: RNAcentral
CAGCCGCGGUAAUUCCAGCUCCCAACGUGUANAUCGUCAUUGCUGCGGUUAAAAAGCUCGUAGUUGGAUCUUAGCUCAUGUCGGUAGUUCUCCAUGUGAGAUACUGCUCGGCUGAGCUGUUUCGCCGGUUUUCCGUAGUUUCGGCUGCGGUGACUGGUGUUGUAACUUUGAUUAAAUCAAUGUGAUUAAAACAGGCGUUUGCUUGAAUGCUUUAUCAUGGAAUAAUAGAAUAUGACUUCGGUCCAUUCUGUUGGUCUUGGGAUCGAAGUAAUGAUUAAAAGGAACAACUCGGGGGCAUCCGUAUCGCUGCGUGAGAGGUGAAAUUCUUGGACCGCAGCGAGACGACCUAUUGCGAAAGCAUUUGCCAAGAAUGUUUUCAUUAAUCAAGAACGAAAGUCAGAGGAUCGAAGGCGAUUAGAUACCGCCCUAGUUCUGACCGUAAACUAUGCCAACUAGCGAUCAGGUGGUGGUAGUUUAGCCCUGCCUGGGAGCUUCUCGGAAACGAAAGU